Molecule: ribosomal RNA, 443 nt
Filed under: uncultured bacterium
Lineage: Bacteria
Description: partial 16S ribosomal RNA
Rfam family: Bacterial small subunit ribosomal RNA
Source: RNAcentral
CCUACGGGCGGCAGCAGUGGGGAAUAUUGGACAAUGGGGGAAACUCUGACCCAGCAACGCCGCGUGAAUGAUGAAGGUCUUCGGAUUGUAAAGUUCUGUUCUAAGGGAAGAAAAACGUGACGGUACCUUAGGGAUAAGCCUCGGCUAACUACGUGCCAGCAGCCGCGGUAAUACGUAGGAGGCAAGCGUUAUCCGGAAUGACUGGGUGUAAAGGGUGCGUAGGUGGUGUGACAAGUCUGUAGCGAAACGCCGAGGCUCAACCUCGGCACUACUACCAAAACUGUCGGACUUGAGUGCAGGAGAGGCAAGUGGAAUUCCUAGUGUAGCGGUGGAAUGCGUAGAUAUUAGGAGGAACACCAGUGGCGAAGGCGAGUUGCUGGACUGUAACUGACACUGAGGCACGAAAGCGUGGGGAGCAAACAGGAUUAGAUACCCGAGUAGUC